RNAcentral lists this ribosomal RNA (551 nucleotides) under unidentified. RNAcentral describes it as "Euchirograpsus danielae partial 12S ribosomal RNA". The record is from RNAcentral.
UACUUUGAGAUUAAGUAAAAUAGGUUAGAGUUUAGUUAAGUGAUUAUAUUUAAACUAUUUAUAAAUAAUAAAAGGUAAAAUGUAAAUAUUAUUUUAUAAAAUUUUAAUAAUUGUUGCUGAAGCUAAUAAAAUUUGAUUAUAGACUAGGAUUAGAUACCCUAUUAUUUCAAAAAUAAAAAUUUAUAAGCUAGAUUAGUAUUAGAUAAAUACUUAAAAAUUAAAAAAUUUGGCGGUAAUUUAAUCUUUUCAGAGGAAUUUGUUUUUUAAUCGAUAAACCACGUAAAAUCUUACUUGUCUUCGUGUUCAGUUUGUAUACCAUCAUUAUCAGGUAAUUCUUCAAGGAAAAAUUACUGUACUUAACUUUACUUAUAAAAAUUAGAUCAUGGUGCAGCUAAUAGACAAGAUAAAAUGAAUUACAAUAAAUUUCUUUAAACGGAUUAAUAAAGUAAAUUUAUUAUGAAGGAGGAUUUGAUUGUAGAGUAAGUUUAAUAUGCUUACUUGAUAUAAGUGCUAAAUUAUGUACAUAUCGCCCGUCGCUUUCACUUACAAGU